UACGUAGGGACCAAGCGUUGUUCGGAUUUACUGGGCGUAAAGGGCGCGUAGGCGGGCUGCCGCGUCCGGGGUGAAAGCCCCCCGCUCAACGGGGGAACGGCCUCGGAUACGGGCGAUCUCGAGGGGGGUAGGGGCACCUGGAACUGUGGGUGGAGCGGUGAAAUGCGUUGAUAUCCACAGGAACUCCGGUGGCGAAGGCGAGGUGCUGGACCCCAUCUGACGCUGAGGCGCGAAAGCCAGGGGAGCGAACGGG
This 253-nucleotide ribosomal RNA is filed under the name uncultured bacterium. RNAcentral's name for it is "partial 16S ribosomal RNA". It matches the Rfam family "Bacterial small subunit ribosomal RNA", at positions 524 to 776 of the family's 1533-position model. The record is from RNAcentral.